AUGCAAGUCGAACGGAGAAUUAGCAAUAAUUCUUAGUGGCGAACGGGUGAGUAACGCGUGGGCAAUCUGCCCUUCAGAUGGGGACAACAUUCCGAAAGGGGUGCUAAUACCGAAUACGAUCUAACAACCGCAUGGUUGUUAGCUGAAAGAUGGCCUCUAUUUAUAAGCUAUCGCUGAAGGAUGAGCCUGCGUCUGAUUAGCUAGUUGGUGGGGUAACAGCCUACCAAGGCGACGAUCAGUAGCCGGUCUGAGAGGAUGAACGGCCACACUGGGACUGAGACACGGCCCAGACUCCUACGGGAGGCAGCAGUGGGGAAUCUUCCGCAAUGGGCGAAAGUCUGACGGAGCAACGCCGCGUGAACGAUGAAGGCCGUGAGGUUGUAAAGUUCUUUUCGGGAGGAGGAAUAAGCGGGGCAGGAAAUGGCCUUGCGAUGACGUGAAUCCCGGAAUAAGCCCCGGCUAACUACGUGCCAGCAGCCGCGGUAACACGUAGGGGGCGAGCGUUGUUCGGAAUCAUUGGGCGUAAAGGGCGUGCAGGCGGCCCUGCAAGUCCGGCGUGAAAUGCCCCGGCUCAACCGGGGAGACGCGCUGGAAACUGCGGGGCUGGAGUACAGGAGGGGAUGCCGGAAUUCCAGGUGUAGGGGUGAAAUCUGUAGAUAUCUGGAGGAACACCAAUGGCGAAGGCAGGCAUCUGGCCAUGUACUGACGCUGAGACGCGAAGGUGCGG
Molecule: ribosomal RNA, 727 nt
Filed under: uncultured bacterium
Lineage: Bacteria
Description: bacterial SSU rRNA
Rfam family: Bacterial small subunit ribosomal RNA
Source: RNAcentral